UUGGCGUGUUGUAUUUUGUCUCUCAAAAAAGAGAUGAAGCAAUUGGAAGCGCACGUCAUUGUAGGUUUGCAACUAGCUCAAUUGGUAGAGCGAAUGACUUUUAAUCAUUUGGUGUCGGUUCAAUUCCGACGUUGACUAAAAAUGCAAAGACGCUUCCGGUGUAUAACGAUAAGUGUUUUAAAGCCUUGGCGGUAUACCGUAACAAGGCAGAUCACAAGCUCGCAAGGCAAGUGAUCUUCUGUCAGGAGAUGCAAGGUGGGUCGAACCUUUACUGGCCGCAAGCCAGACUGAAAUUAAUAGGCAGAGUAGUUAUAUACGACAGGUGAUACGCAGCACCUUUAAAAAUGCAAACACGCUGACUUACUAACCAGCUCUACGGAGUGGUUGGUGGACAACAGAGUAACGAGUAACUGCAAUUAUUCGGUACGCUUAUGGAAAGAGUUAGCAUAUAAACGCGUAGUCUCGGCGU
This is a non-coding RNA of Oleiphilus sp. HI0009, 469 nucleotides long. The record is from Rfam. Lineage: Bacteria; Pseudomonadati; Pseudomonadota; Gammaproteobacteria; Oceanospirillales; Oleiphilaceae.